CGCACAACGUGCGCGCGCGCACUCUGUCUGGCCAGGCGGAGCCGCUGGUUGGUGGAGGCUCGCGGGGCGCGCUCCCGAGCGCCCUCGCGACCGGAAGUGCGCGCUCGGGGGUAGGCGGGAAGGCCGCGGCGGGAUUAAUUAAAGACCCGAUCAAGCGGCCCGCAGAGGGGCGUGACCUUGUUUCCUCAGGAGUGUGGCGGUGGUCUUACUACUAUGUUCGUUAUAGCGCGGUACGUUCUAGACCCUUCUAUAGGAAAUUUAAAACCUUUAAAAUGUGUAUUUCCUUCCUCCAGUCAGUGACCACGGGGGCGUCUCCAUGAGAUUAAGACAAAGAUUAUAAUAGAGUUCCAGACUAUCCUGGGCAACAUAGCAAGACCUCGUCUCUACAAAAAAUCAAAAAUAGGCCAGGCUUGUUGGCCUGCCCCUGUGGUCCCAGCUACUCGGGAGGCUGAGGAGGAAGAUUCACUUGAGCCUGGGAGGUGGAGGCUGUAGUGAGCCAGAGAUCGCACCACUACACUGCAGCCUGGGCAACAGAGCGAGAUGCCGUCUCAAAAAAAAAAAAAAAAAAAAGGAAAAGGAUAAUACAAGCUUUAAAUAAAACUAGUGUUUAAGAAGCUUCACAGUAGGUUGUUAUUCAAAACAAAAGACUGAAGGGAGUCUGGGCUGAGGGAAGUAGCUAAAGCUAACAGAAAACACAAAUCGAAGUGUAUGUUUUGCAUGUUUUGCGCAGCUGCUGUGGAAGGUGAAGCAGGCCCUACAUUCCUGGAAGAUCUCUUGAUUAAAAACUUAUGGAGGAAGUUACAGACAAAAUGUGCAGCUCAUCCAAAAUAGCUGAGUAGUUGGCAAGAACCAAGCCUGAAGCGCAGCUGUCCUUUCUAACUGAAACCUAAAAUUGUUGGGCUCUUAAU
RNAcentral lists this long non-coding RNA (908 nucleotides) under Homo sapiens (human). Its description in RNAcentral is "non-protein coding C9orf41-AS1:1". Lineage: Eukaryota; Metazoa; Chordata; Mammalia; Primates; Hominidae. The record is from RNAcentral.